This is a non-coding RNA of Ictidomys tridecemlineatus (thirteen-lined ground squirrel), 102 nucleotides long. NCBI's taxonomy places the organism in Eukaryota, Metazoa, Chordata, Mammalia, Rodentia, Sciuridae. The record is from Rfam.
AUCCUUCAUUUUAUAAGCAUGAUGAUUGGAUGUUCACACUAUUGAGUGAGAUGUGCCUACCUUUAAACCUUGUUACAACAUCAGCACAUUACCCAUCUGAUG